Molecule: ribosomal RNA, 1372 nt
Filed under: uncultured bacterium
Lineage: Bacteria
Description: bacterial SSU rRNA
Rfam family: Bacterial small subunit ribosomal RNA
Source: RNAcentral
GAUGAACGCUGGCGGCGUGCCUAAUACAUGCAAGUCGAGCGAACGGACGAGAAGCUUGCUUCUCUGAUGUUAGCGGCGGACGGGUGAGUAACACGUGGAUAACCUACCUAUAAGACUGGGAUAACUUCGGGAAACCGGAGCUAAUACCGGAUAAUAUUUUGAACCGCAUGGUUCAAAAGUGAAAGACGGUCUUGCUGUCACUUAUAGAUGGAUCCGCGCUGCAUUAGCUAGUUGGUAAGGUAACGGCUUACCAAGGCAACGAUGCAUAGCCGACCUGAGAGGGUGAUCGGCCACACUGGAACUGAGACACGGUCCAGACUCCUACGGGAGGCAGCAGUAGGGAAUCUUCCGCAAUGGGCGAAAGCCUGACGGAGCAACGCCGCGUGAGUGAUGAAGGUCUUCGGAUCGUAAAACUCUGUUAUUAGGGAAGAACAUAUGUGUAAGUAACUGUGCACAUCUUGACGGUACCUAAUCAGAAAGCCACGGCUAACUACGUGCCAGCAGCCGCGGUAAUACGUAGGUGGCAAGCGUUAUCCGGAAUUAUUGGGCGUAAAGCGCGCGUAGGCGGUUUUUUAAGUCUGAUGUGAAAGCCCACGGCUCAACCGUGGAGGGUCAUUGGAAACUGGAAAACUUGAGUGCAGAAGAGGAAAGUGGAAUUCCAUGUGUAGCGGUGAAAUGCGCAGAGAUAUGGAGGAACACCAGUGGCGAAGGCGACUUUCUGGUCUGUAACUGACGCUGAUGUGCGAAAGCGUGGGGAUCAAACAGGAUUAGGUACCCUGGUAGUCCACGCCGUAAACGAUGAGUGCUAAGUGUUAGGGGGUUUCCGCCCCUUAGUGCUGCAGCUAACGCAUUAAGCACUCCGCCUGGGGAGUACGACCGCAAGGUUGAAACUCAAAGGAAUUGACGGGGACCCGCACAAGCGGUGGAGCAUGUGGUUUAAUUCGAAGCAACGCGAAGAACCUUACCAAAUCUUGACAUCCUUUGACAACUCUAGAGAUAGAGCUUUCCCCUUCGGGGGACAAAGUGACAGGUGGUGCAUGGUUGUCGUCAGCUCGUGUCGUGAGAUGUUGGGUUAAGUCCCGCAACGAGCGCAACCCUUAAGCUUAGUUGCCAUCAUUAAGUUGGGCACUCUAAGUUGACUGCCGGUGACAAACCGGAGGAAGGUGGGGAUGACGUCAAAUCAUCAUGCCCCUUAUGAUUUGGGCUACACACGUGCUACAAUGGACAAUACAAAGGGCAGCGAAACCGCGAGGUCAAGCAAAUCCCAUAAAGUUGUUCUCAGUUCGGAUUGUAGUCUGCAACUCGACUACAUGAAGCUGGAAUCGCUAGUAAUCGUAGAUCAGCAUGCUACGGUGAAUACGUUCCCGGGUCU